Molecule: small RNA, 168 nt
Filed under: Canis lupus dingo (dingo)
Lineage: Eukaryota; Metazoa; Chordata; Mammalia; Carnivora; Canidae
Description: TUC338 (ENSCAFG00020006148.1)
Source: RNAcentral
UUGAUAGUUUUGGAAACUGAAGAGCUCUAAUCAUCCACAGAACAGGUACAAUAUAGCCAAUGGCAGUAGAAAUGAUUUCAUAAUGUCGUGCAAAAUGCACCUCAGAUAGGUUUCUUAGGAACAUCAUGGGAUAUACAGAUUUUAAGGCUCCUUCUUGUUCAGUCUACU